RNAcentral lists this transfer RNA (76 nucleotides) under archaeon. RNAcentral describes it as "tRNA-His". It matches the Rfam family "tRNA". Rfam says of the family: Transfer RNA (tRNA) molecules are approximately 80 nucleotides in length. Their secondary structure includes four short double-helical elements and three loops (D, anti-codon, and T loops). RNAcentral also lists the same sequence under 1 other name. The record is from RNAcentral.
ACGAAGAUAAGAUAGCCGGUCAGUCCUAGAGAUUGUGGAUCUCUAUACCCGGGUUCAAAUCCCGGUCUUCGUCCCA